RNAcentral lists this ribosomal RNA (465 nucleotides) under uncultured bacterium. RNAcentral describes it as "partial 16S ribosomal RNA". It matches the Rfam family "Bacterial small subunit ribosomal RNA", at positions 338 to 795 of the family's 1533-position model. The record is from RNAcentral.
CCUACGGGAGGCAGCAGUAGGGAAUCUUCCACAAUGGGCGAAAGCCUGAUGGAGCAACGCCGCGUGGGUGAAGAAGGUCUUCGGAUCGUAAAACCCUGUUGUUAGAGAAGAAAGUGCGUGAGAGUAACUGUUCACGUUUCGACGGUAUCUAACCAGAAAGCCACGGCUAACUACGUGCCAGCAGCCGCGGUAAUACGUAGGUGGCAAGCGUUAUCCGGAUUGAUUGGGCGUAAAGGGAACGCAGGCGGUCUUUUAAGUCUGAUGUGAAAGCCUUCGGCUUAACCGGAGUAGGGCAUUGGAAACUGGGAGACUUGAGUGCAGAAGAGGAGAGUGGAACUCCAUGUGUAGCGGUGAAAUGCGUAGAUAUAUGGAAGAACACCAGUGGCGAAAGCGGCUCUCUGGUCUGUAACUGACGCUGAGGUUCGAAAGCGUGGGUAGCAAACAGGAUUAGAUACCCCUGUAGUC